CACUGGCUCUCGCAGUCUCGCUGCCCCCCCCCCCCCCCUCCGCCGCCGCCGGCAUCCUCGCCGUCGCUGGAGGCAUGGCGACACGGCGGCCUGAGAAUCCCCCACCGCCGGAUCCUGCGGAUCGACAUCCUCACAUCCCUCCUCCGCCGACGAGAAUUCAUAUGCAAGCACAUCAUAUCCCCUGGACUCUGAAGAAUCUGCAUGAAGCCAUGUUCAGACUGAGAGGUCCGAAGCAUAUAUUUUUGUUCCGGUGUGCUUAUGCAUGUGCCCUUCUAAAAACCAUAGAUGAAAAAAAAAUGUCUGGACUAACAAAAUAAAUAUGCAUUAGUGUAUAUAUCAGAGUCAGAGAUGACCAUUUUGGAUAAAAUAGUUAGGCACCGUUGCUAUAUUAGAGCCUUGAGAAUUUAUUCAACCAGCAACAAACAGAUGGUGAUGAUAAGUCACAUGGAUCAAACCUGCAGAGACCACAACAAUGAUCAAUCUGCAAGUAGACUACAACGACAGUAGUAAAAGCAGCACAUGUAUAUGAAUCUGGCCGGAAUUCAUGGCCGGUCAUUUCGACGUCGACGGAUCGGCCGGCCGGCCGGCGGUGCAUCACAUGGACGGUGGCCGGAGGUAACGACGGCAGUGCCUAAUCCCUUUUGCUUCCAUGUCUUAUUGUUUCAACACUCUGAGCUUACUGUCGCCUACUCACGUGAAGGCAUAUGUGAUGCAAAUUAUACUAUUAAACCUAUUGUUUUUCAGGCCAACUGAAUUGAGUAGUAGUAGGAGAUAUUUCCUGUGCUUGAACGGUGAUUGGUCCAUGCUUGAAACGAAUAAGUUCUUUUAUUUAAUUACUCUGCCCAAUUAGGGUCUAGUGCCAAUAGGAUAUAUAGCUAAUCAUAUCAGAGAUGUUUGUUAACUUGACUAUUCUGAUUCCAAUCUUGUUAAAAUAUGUGUGCAUCUGAAUGUGUGCUA
This is a non-coding RNA of Oryza sativa Japonica Group (Japanese rice), 957 nucleotides long. NCBI's taxonomy places the organism in Eukaryota, Viridiplantae, Streptophyta, Magnoliopsida, Poales, Poaceae. The record is from RefSeq and is a predicted model, not a curated record.